CGACUUCUUUUUUCAUUCCAGCCACCUUAUAUUCAAAGGUGCCGGAUUCGUCCGGCUAUGGCGAUAAACGCGACCGUAAUAAGCCAUUCGGACCCGGGGGCGGUACCCGGCGCCUCCACCAAACCUUUCCCGCGCUUUGCGGCCGGCUUCCGAAGGGAAGCCCCAGAAUGCGACCGGAAUGGGGGCGAACUAGGAUCGACGAGGGUGUAAAGGGUUUAGCUUUUGCCCGGCAUGAUACCACCGUUAUCGGGUCAUUCAGAAUAGUUGCCAAUGACAACUAUGCUGAGGCUGCUCUCGCUGCGUAAUGCGGCGCGAAAUGCCUAAACUCAAGCCCUUACCCCUAGCCGGGUAAGGCGCGGUUCGGAGGGCACCGGGCAACAGAAGCCCUCCACU
RNAcentral lists this transfer-messenger RNA (393 nucleotides) under Hyphomicrobium sp. It matches the Rfam family "Alphaproteobacteria transfer-messenger RNA". Rfam says of the family: Bacterial tmRNA, also known as 10Sa RNA or SsrA, is named for its dual tRNA and mRNA-like properties. Its role is to liberate the mRNA from a stalled ribosome. The record is from RNAcentral. Lineage: Bacteria; Pseudomonadati; Pseudomonadota; Alphaproteobacteria; Hyphomicrobiales; Hyphomicrobiaceae.